RNAcentral lists this transfer RNA (74 nucleotides) under bacterium. RNAcentral's name for it is "tRNA-Ile". It matches the Rfam family "tRNA". Rfam says of the family: Transfer RNA (tRNA) molecules are approximately 80 nucleotides in length. Their secondary structure includes four short double-helical elements and three loops (D, anti-codon, and T loops). Further hydrogen bonds mediate the characteristic L-shaped molecular structure. tRNAs have two regions of fundamental functional importance: the anti-codon, which is responsible for specific mRNA codon recognition, and the 3' end, to which the tRNAs corresponding amino acid is attached (by aminoacyl-tRNA synthetases). tRNAs cope with the degeneracy of the genetic code in two manners: having more than one tRNA (with a specific anti-codon) for a particular amino acid; and 'wobble' base-pairing, i.e. permitting non-standard base-pairing at the 3rd anti-codon position. The record is from RNAcentral.
ACCCUUGUAGCUCAGUUGGUUAGAGCAUCCGACUCAUAAUCGGCAGGCCCUAGGUUCAAGUCCUAGCAGGGGUA